CGAGCCGGCCGGGCGGCCGCGUCGGGGUUCUUCGGGAUCCCGCCGAGGAACGUCCGGGCUCCACAGGGCAGGGUGGUGGGUAACGCCCACCCGGGGUGACCCGCGGGACAGUGCCACAGAAAACAGACCGCCGGGGACCUCGGUCCUCGGUAAGGGUGAAACGGUGGUGUAAGAGACCACCAGUGCCCAGGGUGACCUGGGCAGCUCGGUAAACCCCACCCGGAGCAAGGUCAAGAGGAGCCGCCUUUGGCGGCUCUGCGCGGACGAUCGAGGGCUGCCCGCCCGAGUCCGCGGGUAGACCGCACGAGGCCGACGGCAACGCCGGUCCUAGAUGGAUGGCCGCCUCCCCACGGGCCGCAAGGCCCGCGGGAGACAGAACCCGGCGUACAGGCCGACUCGUCCG
RNAcentral lists this RNase P RNA (403 nucleotides) under Streptomyces coffeae. RNAcentral's name for it is "RNase P RNA component class A". It matches the Rfam family "Bacterial RNase P class A". From Rfam's summary of the family: Ribonuclease P (RNase P) is a ubiquitous endoribonuclease, found in archaea, bacteria and eukarya as well as chloroplasts and mitochondria. Its best characterised activity is the generation of mature 5'-ends of tRNAs by cleaving the 5'-leader elements of precursor-tRNAs. The record is from RNAcentral. Lineage: Bacteria; Bacillati; Actinomycetota; Actinomycetes; Kitasatosporales; Streptomycetaceae.